This 1223-nucleotide ribosomal RNA is filed under the name Bacillus paranthracis. RNAcentral's name for it is "bacterial SSU rRNA". It matches the Rfam family "Bacterial small subunit ribosomal RNA", at positions 1 to 1198 of the family's 1533-position model. RNAcentral also lists the same sequence under 1 other name. Lineage: Bacteria; Bacillati; Bacillota; Bacilli; Caryophanales; Bacillaceae. The record is from RNAcentral.
ACCGCACAUCCAGAGGUUUUGUCAUGGCUCAGGAUGAACGCUGGCGGCGUGCCUAAUACAUGCAAGUCGAGCGAAUGGAUUAAGAGCUUGCUCUUAUGAAGUUAGCGGCGGACGGGUGAGUAACACGUGGGUAACCUGCCCAUAAGACUGGGAUAACUCCGGGAAACCGGGGCUAAUACCGGAUAACAUUUUGAACCGCAUGGUUCGAAAUUGAAAGGCGGCUUCGGCUGUCACUUAUGGAUGGACCCGCGUCGCAUUAGCUAGUUGGUGAGGUAACGGCUCACCAAGGCAACGAUGCGUAGCCGACCUGAGAGGGUGAUCGGCCACACUGGGACUGAGACACGGCCCAGACUCCUACGGGAGGCAGCAGUAGGGAAUCUUCCGCAAUGGACGAAAGUCUGACGGAGCAACGCCGCGUGAGUGAUGAAGGCUUUCGGGUCGUAAAACUCUGUUGUUAGGGAAGAACAAGUGCUAGUUGAAUAAGCUGGCACCUUGACGGUACCUAACCAGAAAGCCACGGCUAACUACGUGCCAGCAGCCGCGGUAAUACGUAGGUGGCAAGCGUUAUCCGGAAUUAUUGGGCGUAAAGCGCGCGCAGGUGGUUUCUUAAGUCUGAUGUGAAAGCCCACGGCUCAACCGUGGAGGGUCAUUGGAAACUGGGAGACUUGAGUGCAGAAGAGGAAAGUGGAAUUCCAUGUGUAGCGGUGAAAUGCGUAGAGAUAUGGAGGAACACCAGUGGCGAAGGCGACUUUCUGGUCUGUAACUGACACUGAGGCGCGAAAGCGUGGGGAGCAAACAGGAUUAGAUACCCUGGUAGUCCACGCCGUAAACGAUGAGUGCUAAGUGUUAGAGGGUUUCCGCCCUUUAGUGCUGAAGUUAACGCAUUAAGCACUCCGCCUGGGGAGUACGGCCGCAAGGCUGAAACUCAAAGGAAUUGACGGGGGCCCGCACAAGCGGUGGAGCAUGUGGUUUAAUUGCGAAGCAACGCGAAGAACCUUACCAGGUCUUUGACAUCCUCUGACAACCCUAGAGAUAGGGCUUCUCCUUCGGGAGCAGAGUGACAGGUGGUGCAUGGUUGUCGUCAGCUCGUGUCGUGAGAUGUUGGGUUAAGUCCCGCAACGAGCGCAACCCUUGAUCUUAGUUGCCAUCAUUUAGUUGGGCACUCUAAGGUGACUGCCGGUGACAAACCGGAGGAAGGUGGGGAUGACGUCAAAUCAUCAUGC